Alexandromys fortis (reed vole) is the source of this 7267-nucleotide long non-coding RNA. RefSeq lists it as uncharacterized. The transcript has 4 exons. The record is from RefSeq and is a predicted model, not a curated record. NCBI's taxonomy places the organism in Eukaryota, Metazoa, Chordata, Mammalia, Rodentia, Cricetidae.
GGGUGUGUUUAGAAACUGGUGGCUUGAAGUCCUCUGGUGGUGCUUGGGGGUCCUGUGAUGCCAGGCUCUGUUGGGGUAAUCCUAGCUGCUUGACAUUUCUGAAAAAUGAAUGAACUGGGCUGAGGAGAAAGCUCCGUAGGUAAAGCACUGGAUACACAGCAAGAGAAGCUGUCUGGAUCCCCAGGAUGCGUGAGUUGACAGCCGGCCGGCGGCCCAGGACUGUGGCCCCAGGGCUCCUACAGCGAGACGAGAGGCGGAGACAAGUAGCCUGGCAUUCACAGCAGAGGGUAAGAAAGAGACGCUGUCUCAUACAAGGUGAGGACCACUACCGGAGGCUGUCCUCUGACUGCCCAUGUGUGCUAUGGCGUGCACACGCUCAUAUCACAGAUGUAUAGAUUAAGUCAGCCAAUGGAAGCAUGUGCAUGCUUGUGUCUGUGGAGGCCAGAACUCAGCGCUGGGUAUCGUUCCUCAGGCAUUGUUCACACUGCUUUGUCUGCUUGAUUGGUUGCUGCUUCAGAUUUAUUUUAUUUUACAUUGUGAGUGUUUUGCCAGCUUGUGUACAGAAGGCAUCAGAUCCUCUGAAACUGGAAUUACAGGUGGCUGUGAACCACUAUACGGGUGCUGGGAACCAAACUUGCAUACUCUUAAAAAAAAAUAAAUAAAACAAACAAAGCAACUGCUAUUAACCACUGAGUGAUUCUCCCAACCCUUCUCUGUCUCUCUAGCCCCACACCUUGUUUAUCGAGAUGGGAUCUCUCACCACGUGGAGCUCAUCAGAUAGGCUGGUUGGCCGGUGAAUCGCAGCGAGCUUCCUUUCACAGCUCUACUGCCUCCCCAGUGCGGGGACGCCAGCACACGGCUCUUUAUAUAAGCUCUAGGGGCCUGCGUCCUGUGAGUACUAGGCUGAGGUUCUAUGCGGAGGAGCCGAGCCAAGGGUGGAGGCCAUGCGCUGCUAGGAGAGCUCUCCAGAGCUCCGCUGACCCUCUGCUCCAACUGCUCCUGCCCGGAAAGAAGGGUUGUUGGCCAUCACACAGCUUUCUCUUCCUUCUGUCUGGUGCUGGGUUGGUCCUGCCAGGGAGCAGAAUUUGGUGACAGCUUUUGGGUCUGGUUUGCCAGCAAGGACGUUUGGCUGGGUGUAGGGUUUCCAUGGCGCGGACGGCCCACAGCCUUGCAUUUCUUCUGGGUUUUGGUGAUCUCGCCGCAUUGCCCAAAUGGCCUUCAGCAUGGGACGGUCCUACAAGUGAGGAGCUGUGUGUGCCACACUGAGAAUGGCGACUUCGUGGGUGCUCAGCCUUUGCAGUGAUUCUAGGUCAUCUUCAUCUCCAUGCAAGGAGACAGCGAGCCCCUCGUGGCCUCCAGGCAUUCACAGUCUCAAGCAGGUAAGGCUCGCAUGCAUGGUUCAUUGGCCUGUCUCAUUCAUACCAACCAGGCUUCUUGGAAAUGGAUCUGAAAAAUCCACCCUGGAGCCAUUAAGUGAGGGAUGAGAGGAAGGCUGGAGGACCCAGCUUAGGGUGUAAGAGACUCAGGAAGGUGAAAAUCCCCUCGGCACCAUUGGUCACAGCUGUGUCUGCUGAACCAUCUCUGCAUCCAGACCACCAUUCUCAAUCCACAGCUCAUGGCCGUUGCUUGAUUGGCAUUCACUGGGUAGACCAUUUAUGAGAAGCCCCAUUGGUUCCUGAGUGGAAGGAAAGAUGAAACCCCCUGCCUUCGUGAAGCUGACAUCCUGUGGUAUCCCCACCCCAGGGCCAUGAAAGCUUGGGUUUCUCUUGUUCUGGCUGCUUCAUGGCUCAAAGUGAUGUCCUUCGUUCAAAAAUAAAGACAGUGACACUGGGCUAUAAAAAAACAAACAAAACAAAAACAACAACAACAACAAAAAACCCAGCUUCCCUGGCAGAGUCUAGAAAAGGAAUAGAGAGGGACUGGAGAGGUAACUUAGUAGGUAAGAGCCAAGCAUAAGAAUCCGAGUCUGGAUCCAAGCACCCACAUAAAAGCUGGGUGUCAUAGCACACACCUGCAACCCCAGGGCCGUGGGAGGCAGAAUCGGGGUUGCUCGGGCUUUUCUGGCUGUCAUCUUCGCUCCGGGUUCAUAGAGACCGUGUCUUAAUGGAACACAGUGGAGACCUGGUAAGAUCAGGACACUCACCAUUGUCCUCUGGCCUCCACAGCCGUGUAACAGGCACACGGACGCACACAUGCAACACUAUGUAUGUACAAAUGUAGAAGGGAUGAGGGGAUCUCUCAGGUGGGAUGGUCCUUCUUUCAGGCAGGGUAGCAAUGGUUGGGGACAUUGUUAGAAACUCAAGGAGGCCGGCAUCUUUAGGAAUAAUCCUAUCUGAAGGGACCUUCAGAGUGUCCUUUCCUUUGGAUGUGGUGAAAAACUAUUUGGGGAAAAGAUACCAAGUGAGCCCAGAAGUAUUCGUGUCUACCGUCUUGUUUCCUUGAGCCAUGACUUUAAACUGAGCGUGCUCAGUGAUGCCCAUCUUAAAACGAGCAUGCUCCAGAGUGAGCCUGCCCAGAGAACUUUCCAUGGAGAAUGUAUGGACUCUCCAGAUAAAACCUGUUCCUCCCUCACUCCCUUGUUACUGGGGGGCUUCGGAAAUCACUCCCACGGCCUUCUUCCUUACCUGUGAUAUUAAAUCUUUGUCCUCUCUCUUAGUUUUUGGUCAUUUUUUUUCUGACCACUCUUUCCACUGUGCUCCGUCCCAGCAUGGAGCAGCCAUGUGUCCAGAGUAGGAAAGGUAUGUCCCAGGGCUCCAGGAGAAUACUGUGUUAGAAGAACAUCCCACACUACAAACUGCCGAAAAGACCUAGGAAAACACACGCACCCUUGGAGAACUGGGAAGAAGUGUUUCAUCCGUGGCUGCUUGGCGUCAUGGUUUUGGAAGAGGAAAUUUAAGGAGAUACAAAUGGCUGUUCAUGUGUUUGUCCCUCCAUCCAGAGUAUCAGGGACAAGCCUCACCAGUCACAGAGGUGACUAGCCCUGCACUGAGGGAUGGCAGCAAAGCUCUAGCCACCCAGAGCUGAAACCAGUGCGGCCGCAAGAGCAAGGCAAAGGGCACCGCCAGGAGAAGGGAGGUUUCGCCACAUCAUUGCGUCGUUCUGCUCUUCUGCAACGUGGAGAACGGCGAUCUACAGAGUUAAACGCAAGUGGUUGCGGACGGCUGUUCUAAUUUCCUUCCAUUGCCGCGCUAAAACCCCAAGCAAGAGCAACUCGGGGAGGAAAGAGUUUAUUUCAGCUUAUACUUCAUCACUGAUGAAAGUCAGGGCAAGGACUCAAGCAGGAACUGAAGCAAAAGCCGUGGAGAAACACCGCGUGCUGGUUCCAGUCCAGGCCCCGGCUUAGCCAGCUGUCUCCGUCCAACCCAGGACUACCUGCCUGGAGAGCAGGCUGCCCACAAAGGGCUGGGCCUCUCAGAUCAAUUAGACAUGGCCGCAGGCCAAUCUGAUCCAGGCAGUUUCUCAAAGGUCUGUCUUCUCGGAUGACUCUAGGUUGUGACAAGUUGACCGGGCUAACAGGAUGGUGGGGAACUGGAAUGAGGACAGAGAAGGGCAGAAGACACGGGGAGACAGACUGGGUGCGCACAGGGACACAGAUUGUGCUACCUUGGAAGCCACCCUUGACCUUGGCCAUCUGCCUCCAAGAAGACCCUUCAGUCGCCAGCAGGACAAAGUGAGAGGGAAGGACCUGACUCACACAAACCCAUCAACCCCAUGAGAAAGACGACCCAGAAUGUGACCCAUGAUAAUGCACCAGCAUCUUCAAUUCUGCAGGUGGAGAGUCAGAGCCCCGAAGAGUCAGCAAAGAAGCUAUGGAUUCUUCAUUUUCCGAGCUUCAGAUUUCUCUUCCAGACAGCUUUCCUGCCUCUGCAUCCGUGAAGGCAUCAUCUCUUUGGAGAUGGAAGUCUCUGAAUCCUUGGAAUAAAUGCUCAAGCAUCAGUGGGGAAAAUCGUGUCAUCUGGCUUUUCUGAGGGGCUCACUCCCAGAGCAUGCUCCGAUGGGUGGGGACUCCCUCUCUCUCCCCUCUCCAGCUUUGAGGACACCUAUGCUUGGCCCAUGACAGAGCCUGCAAGGGCCCACGUGAGGAAUGGGUCUCUGCAAAACAAGUGUUUGGAUGCCUGAGUCACCUGGGAAUUUAUCUACUGCUUCCAGCAAGCCUUUGUUAUGCGUUGAGCAAUGUAUGCCAUCUGCCUGGCCGACGGCUAGCAAGCCACAUAGUCUGUCUUCAUGUCCCUACAGUCUCGUGAGUUGGUCAAAGCUGCGAGACUGAAUCAGUCACAACUCACAACAGUGCUAUCAAAACCUCAAAGCAACAUGGUUCAGCAGGGCGUGACAGUUCACACCUUCAAUCCUGUCGCUCAGGAGGGGGAGGCAAGAAGAUCACCCUGUGUGAAAAGCCAGCCUGGUGUACGUUCAAGUUUCAGGCUAGCUAGGACUAUAGAGCAAGAUUUUGUCCUUCUGUCUCCGCCCUUCCCAACAAUACGGUUCGGAUAAGAUGGGAUUUUAUUGUUCCUUCACACAAAGUGGAGAGUGAGCAGCGGAGACGGGCGCGCCUUCCCUGUUCUGGCUCUGACGGCCUGAGUGUAUGAUCUCCAUUCAGUUAGCCCAUGCUCCUUCACUACCAUCCACAGCCUAGCACGGAAAGGAGAAAAGCAGAUAGGAUACAUGUCUGUUUGACUGGAUUCAGAAACACUUGGGUUUGCUUAACUUGCCGUUCCCGAGACACCUGUGUCUCAGGACUGAUACCAAUGCGGCCCAGUUCAUUGGUAGAUGAAGACAACAUGUCACCAUGGCAAGGGGUUGGGCACCGCUGGGCCCUAGGGCAAUAUUGAGGCCCAUCUUUGAAUGUAUCUGUGAGUUUGCUUCCAGAGAAGAUUAAAUGAGGGGGAAGACCCACCCCGAGUGUGAACAGCACUGUCCCAUGGGCUGAGGGCUCAGACUGAAUAAAGAAGGCCUGUGGUUUCCUCACCAUCACGGACCGUACGUACCCUUGUACCGUGAGCCAAACAAAUCUUCCCUCCUUUAAAUUGCAUACUGCUGGGUAUUUCAACCACGACAUAAAAAAAGAAAACUAAUACAGAGGGAAAGAAAGGUGUGGUUUGUAUAACAGUUUCUGACUUGAAACUGUCACUCAUGAGAUCCAGGAAGACCUUCCUAAGAUCAUAGAAGCAACGAACCACUGCCGGGGGAGGGGAUUCUGAUCAUCAAGGCUGCCUGAAGAAGAUUCUCCAAUCUCAGAGCUGCCUGCAAAUCUCUCAGAGAGGCCCAAGGUUUAAGCAUUUGUGAGUCACAAAUCAUGAGUCAAAUCACCCCUGCUGGGGUGGGCUUUCAUUGGGACAGCUGCUUUCAAGUCAGACAUGCUCCCGAAAGUCACCCUCCACACACACCCCUGCUAGUGAGCCCAGUAAACUCACCGGUCCAACAAGUGGAAUUUGGUAUAAUUGUUACUUUGUUCUCUCACCAAUUGUGUGUGUGUGUGUGUGUGUGUGUGUGCGCGCGCGCGCGCGUGUACCCGCACACAUGGUCUCUGCAGGGAAGGUCUUGCUCAACACAUAGCUUCACCUCCAUACAACCCAUAACCCCACCUCUUGGAAGCCAUGCUGUUUCUUAUGACCUGCCGAAACAUAGGAAAAGGAUUUUCCUGAGGGAGCCUUGCUGUCCUUUAAACAUCGUGGAUGAAGGUGGUAUGAUGGGGAGAAUGAGGGAGGAGGCAUCUCCAGUGAAGUGAGGGUGUCGCCAAAGCUCUAGCUCAAGCUGAACAGAUGGGGAAGAGCCACAAAUGCACAGGGGCAGGAGGUGAGGAAGGAGGAAUGGCGUCAAAGCAGACUGCAAUGCUGACCGUGGGGCCAGUGCGAGUGUGUUGCCCUUGGAAGGGAGGAAGGGGACAGGACAGGACUCAGAGGCAGACCAAACUCGAUGAGCUCUUAAGGGCCUGUGUUCCAGGACGGUCCAAACUCAAAGUUCUAACAGGAUGUCUGGUGUUGCCUCUCUCAUCGCCUUGCCCACCGUUCUCACAGCUGUGUUGGUGCUGAUGCUGACGGAGGAGCAGAUGCUUCUCACCAGAGCAGCCCUGGAUCCCCUUAGCGUCCUCCACUAAAGGAGCUCCCGAGGAAAGCACUUACAUGGAGCAUUUACAAGGAACAUUCAUAGGGAACACUCACAGAGGACCAUUCAUGGAGAGUACACACGGGGAGGACUCAUGGGGAGCACCCAUGGAGCCCUUGAGGGGAGAACUUACAGAGAGGACUUAUGAAGGAGCUCAGAUGAGGAGGACUCAUGGGGCAAACUGGCCUGGACCACCCGUAGGGAGCACUCUUGGAGGGACACCCACAAGCAUCCCUCACUGGCAGCAGCACCAGAGUGAUCAAAGGUACCAACAUGGCUUAGAGAAACCACUACGCUAUGCUACUACAUGGAUGCUUUGGACAAGGCCAUUCCUUAAAAUUCUCAUCCUGAAAUCCUAGGUCCCGUGGAGCUAAGUUAGAUCUCAGCCCCGGAGUUCCGCCAGGACAUUCAACCCAGACAUUACUCUGAAACGCCUCAUCCUCCUUUCUCUUGUCCCCUCCCUCUCAUCGCCUUUCUCUGGCUCUCCUAACUUCCAUCUCUCUCUCUCCAUGCCUGCAUGCCCCUCCCUCCUCCUGUCUCCUCUGCAUGCUCCCAAGCCGCCUCCUAAGCACCUCUGAUUUAAGAGCCCAGUCUUCCGGUUUCUUUCCUGUGCACAUGCCCAUCCCUGCUCUGAGGCUGGCCAGCACGGCCUCCCUCUGGGUGCCCCCUUUUCUUCAGACUUUCAGGAGUGCACUGGACCAUCUGCUUGGCCUGUCAGGUAGAAUGUGUAUGAAGGAGUCCAUGUCCAGCCCCUUAGUCUGCGCAUCCCUGGGAUGGGCAGCUCCGUUUUCCCACUGGCGGCAGACAUUGCUUUCCAACGCCCAACCUUGAUCUGUUGGCAAAUAUUAUUGACUGUAUCUGCAAAAGAGAUCCACACUUGACCCUGCUUCCACCCUGACCAGAGCCAACUUCUGCUUUCCCUGAAUUGUUUCUCCAGUUCUGGGAUCCACGUCCCUGCUGCCAUCACAUGCACUCCCCUCAGCCAUGCAGCCAGGGGACGCUGCUAACGCUGGAAAAAUGUCACAUCUCCAAGUAAGAGAUGGCUGCCACCUCCGCCGGAGGAAGACCAAGGGCUCAGGAUGGCUUCUGUCUUAAUCCCUGUCCUGUUGCUAGGGAGAGACAUCAUGACCAAGGCAACACUUAGAAAGAAAAGCAUUUGAUUGGG